GGAGGUGUAACCCUAAUUGGUAAGGGAGUGGUCUUGAAAACCACCAGUAGUCGGUAACACGGCGUGCGGGUUCGAGUCCUGCCACCUCCG
This 90-nucleotide transfer RNA is filed under the name Podoviridae sp. ct8Lf7. RNAcentral describes it as "tRNA-Ser". It matches the Rfam family "tRNA". From Rfam's summary of the family: Transfer RNA (tRNA) molecules are approximately 80 nucleotides in length. Their secondary structure includes four short double-helical elements and three loops (D, anti-codon, and T loops). Further hydrogen bonds mediate the characteristic L-shaped molecular structure. tRNAs have two regions of fundamental functional importance: the anti-codon, which is responsible for specific mRNA codon recognition, and the 3' end, to which the tRNAs corresponding amino acid is attached (by aminoacyl-tRNA synthetases). tRNAs cope with the degeneracy of the genetic code in two manners: having more than one tRNA (with a specific anti-codon) for a particular amino acid; and 'wobble' base-pairing, i.e. permitting non-standard base-pairing at the 3rd anti-codon position. Lineage: Duplodnaviria; Heunggongvirae; Uroviricota; Caudoviricetes. The record is from RNAcentral.